GGGUUGUGGCUCAGUGGUAGAGCGCUCACCUAGCGUGUUCAAGGCCCUGGGUUCGAACCUCAGCCCCA
This 68-nucleotide transfer RNA is filed under the name Marmota monax (woodchuck). Its description in RNAcentral is "tRNA.Ala". The record is from RNAcentral. Lineage: Eukaryota; Metazoa; Chordata; Mammalia; Rodentia; Sciuridae.